Long non-coding RNA from Panthera uncia (snow leopard), 752 nucleotides. RefSeq lists it as uncharacterized. The record is from RefSeq and is a predicted model, not a curated record. NCBI's taxonomy places the organism in Eukaryota, Metazoa, Chordata, Mammalia, Carnivora, Felidae. The transcript is spliced from 3 exons.
CCGUGCUAUCUAUUCCCUAAAUCUUCAAAAUAUCACCACUUUAGAAUUACAAGGAAAAUAUAAGUAAAGAACUGAGUGAUACUAGAACCAAUAGCAUAAUGUUGAACCUUUGAAAGACAGGGAUGGUAAGAAUGUGAUGCUGAGUCAAAGUACUGGAAGUGAAAUUGGCAUAUGAUUCAAGAUACUGUAAAUCUUCAAUACCAAACUGUAAACCCUAAUAACAAAUAUGUCUUCUCUCUGAUGUUUCCCACAAGGUAGGCUGACAUUCAACUUAUUUCAGCCAUUGAGGUCAGCUGGAGAUCCUGACCAGCGUUAGUGACCUGCUGUCCCUGCUGUGGCCCUGUGUCUGGAGGUGAUCCAAGGAGACCCCGUUCAUCAUUUCUCUCUGCACCUACACCUCAUUUCAGCAUAAUCAAGACCAACUUAGAAAGGUUAGCUGUGGUCAGAAGAAAUUUAUGAAGAGUGGCUAUUAAGAGAUAGAGCACAUGUAUGCAGACUGUGUUUAAUAAUGUGGCUAUUCAGCUGCGUUCAUGUGACUCACGAGUGACCUAAGCAGUUUCUUCACAAAGCACACAUGGAGAGCACAGACACAGAGGCAAGUUGGGGGAGAGCCCUGGCAGGUAAAUUUUCUGCGCUCAGUGACCUGGGAACAGGAAUGAAAAAUCCUAUUGCUCUUUUGGGAGAAAGGCUAAAAUUCACAGUGUUGCUUAGCUUGUCGGCAAUCCUUGCUCAGGACAUUUUGAUUGCUGAGG